CCUUCGAAUCAGCUGAGAAAUGAAGAACCAUUAAAUGAGUGGUGUUAGGAUAUCCACGUGGGAAAAGAAAAAGAAUCUAGAUCCUGCCCCCCUCACACAGUGCUCACACACAUAGUUCACAACAAUAAAUUCCACCUAUCCUAGGGAACUAACCAUGUGAAAACCAUAGAAGUCUCAUAACAUACAGGGUGAGGCAAAAGUAGGUUACAGUUUUGGGUGCAUGAAAUUCUUGCGUUAUUUAUUAACUAUUGUAUUAUUUUCCAUAUGAAUAACUGUAACCUGUAUCACAGAACGUGUUAAAACUAUGAGUAGGCAAACCUGUCUUUAAGAAAACAUAAAUGAAAGGAAAAAAUGUGAAAGAUUAAUACAUCUCACAACAUCAAAACUUAAUGCUUUUCUACCCAAAGCUAUCUACAGAGUCAAUGCAAUGCCCAGCAAAAUACCAACAGCAUUUUUCACAGACCUAAAACAAACAAUGCUAAAAUUUAUACAGAACAGCAAAAGACCCCAAAUACCCAAAGCAAUAUUGAAAAUGAACAAAGUUGGAGGUAUGCUACCUAAUAUCAAACAAUACUGCAAGGCUAUAGCAACAAAUUGAUGCUCCUCAGAUAGGAGGGGACUUGGGGAGCUGGGUGGAAAAGAUAAAGGGAUUAAGAAGUACAAAUUGCCAGUUACAAAAAUAGAAAGAUGGAAAGUACAGCAUAAGGAAUAUAGUCACUAGUAUUGUAAUAACUGUACGGUGUCAGCUAGGUACUAGACUUACUGGGGUGAUCAUAAGGCAUAUAAAUGUAAUCACUGUUAUAUAGCUGAAACUAAUAAAAUAUUGUAUGUUAGUUAUUGAAAAUAAAAUGUUAAAAAAAUCUAAAACAAUUCUUUUGUAAAGAGGAUACAGUGAAUAAAAUUAAAAGACAAGUGACAGAAGAGAGAAAAAUGAAAUGCAGCAUACAGAGCUAAUGAUCCAGGAUGUACUGGGGGGGAAAAA
Molecule: long non-coding RNA, 982 nt
Organism: Myotis daubentonii (Daubenton's bat)
Lineage: Eukaryota; Metazoa; Chordata; Mammalia; Chiroptera; Vespertilionidae
Exons: 2
Source: RefSeq, a predicted model, not a curated record